AGGGCGGUAGCUCAAUUGGUAGAGUAGCGGUCUCCAAAACCGCCUGUUGUGGGUUCGAGUCCCUCCCGCCCUGCCA
Molecule: transfer RNA, 76 nt
Filed under: Limisphaerales bacterium
Lineage: Bacteria; Pseudomonadati; Verrucomicrobiota; Verrucomicrobiia; Limisphaerales
Description: Verrucomicrobia subdivision 3 bacterium (hot springs metagenome) tRNA-Trp
Rfam family: tRNA
About the family: Transfer RNA (tRNA) molecules are approximately 80 nucleotides in length. Their secondary structure includes four short double-helical elements and three loops (D, anti-codon, and T loops).
Source: RNAcentral